AUUGAACGCUGGCGGCAUGCCUUACACAUGCAAGUCGAACGGCAGCACGGGUGCUUGCACCUGGUGGCGAGUGGCGAACGGGUGAGUAAUACAUCGGAACGUACCUUAUCGUGGAGGAUAACGCAGCGAAAGCUGUGCUAAUACCGCAUACGCCCUGAGGGGGAAAGCGGGGGAUCGCAAGACCUCGCGCGAUUAGAGCGGCCGAUGCCUGAUUAGCUUGUUGGUGGGGUAAAAGCCCACCAAGGCGACGAUCAGUAGCUGGUCUGAGAGGACGAUCAGCCACACUGGGACUGAGACACGGCCCAGACUCCGACGGGAGGCAGCAGUGGGGAAUUUUGGACAAUGGGGGCAACCCUGAUCCAGCAAUGCCGCGUGAGUGAAGAAGGCCUUCGGGUUGUAAAGCUCUUUUGUCAGGGAAGAAACACCGGCUCUAACACAGUCUGGGAAUGACGGUACCUGAAGAAUAAGCACCGGCUAACUACGUGCCAGCCGCCGCCGUAA
RNAcentral lists this ribosomal RNA (501 nucleotides) under uncultured bacterium. RNAcentral's name for it is "partial 16S ribosomal RNA". It matches the Rfam family "Bacterial small subunit ribosomal RNA", at positions 29 to 523 of the family's 1533-position model. The record is from RNAcentral.